RNAcentral lists this ribosomal RNA (254 nucleotides) under uncultured bacterium. RNAcentral describes it as "partial 16S ribosomal RNA". It matches the Rfam family "Bacterial small subunit ribosomal RNA", at positions 524 to 776 of the family's 1533-position model. The record is from RNAcentral.
UACAGAGGUCCCGAGCGUUGUUCGGAUUCACUGGGCGUAAAGGGUGCGCAGGUGGUUUGGCAAGUUUGAUGUGAAAGCCCCGGGCUUAACCCGGGAAUGGCAUUGAAUACUGCUUGAACUGGAGGGUCGGAGGGGGGACUGGAAUUCUUGGUGUAGCAGUGAAAUGCGUAGAUAUCAAGAGGAACACCAGUGGCGAAGGCGAGUCCCUGGACGAUGCCUGACACUGAGGCACGAAAGCCAAGGGAGCAAACAGG